AACAUUGUCAAGUAGUUUCCUUUUAAGCGUAUGUCACACCCCGACUCUGUAGCUUGCCCAAGGCUAAUGAUAUUGGAUUUCAAAUCGGGUAUGAAAUAAACAUCAUUCAUGAUUCUCGAUGUUCCAUUCAUAUCAGUGAAAGCAAUUGUGCCUUUUCCUUUAAUAUCUAUCCGAGAAUCAUCUCCAAAUCUCACCUUUCCAGUGACUGAAGCAUCAAGUUUAUUGAAAUAUCUCCUAUCUCCAGUCAUAUGGUUGCUAGCUCCAUUAUCAAGAUACCAAAGAUCAUCACCACAUGUUUCGAUUUUGCUAGGCACACAAUGUUUCUCAUUCAGGUAAACGAUCUCAUUCAUCAUGAGUUCAUCUGCAUCUUUUGUACUUUUAGCAUCGUUUUCUUGUGUUUCCUGCAACUUAAGAAGACGAUCUGGACAUUGAGAUGCAUAGUGACCCAUUUUAUCACAACGGAAACAUAUUACUUGUGAAAGAUCUCUUGAACCAUAUCUUCCACGACCUCUUCCUCUGUAGUUUCCUCUGCCACCACGUCCUCUGCUACCAUGAUAAUCUCGGUUUGAAUCUGAACUAGCAUACAUCAACUUGCUUUGAUCAUCUUGAGUCUCAUCUUCUUCAUCCCAUACUCUUUCUUCAUAAACCUUAAUCCGUCCAACAAUGUCUUCAAAGCUUGUAUUCUUCAAAUCCAAAACUUGUUCAAGAGAAGCCACUAUUUGUAUGUAUUUCUUGCGUGGGAGACUCUUAAGAAACUUUUUGACAAGUUUCUCUGUUUCAAUAUUUUCUCCUAAGGCAGCAGACUUUGAUGCUAUCUCAGCCAACCUCCCGGAGAAAGCUUCAAUAUUCUCUGAGUCUUUCAUCUUGAGGCGGUCGAACUCAUUCAUUAAGGUUUGUAACCUUGCUUCUUUUACUCUCUCUGCUCCAACGUUCUUUUCUUUGAUUGCUUCCCAUACUUUCUUCGCUGUAUCUAACUCUCCAAUUUGCAGCACCAUAGACUCUGGUAUUGCUUGGAAAAGUAGAUGCAUGGCCAUAUCAUUCUUCUCGGGAUCGUUCGCUCCUGUUUCAAUGACAUCCCACGUUUUG
This 1086-nucleotide long non-coding RNA is filed under the name Arabidopsis thaliana (thale cress). RNAcentral's name for it is "long non-coding RNA (ATHA_LNC000549)". Lineage: Eukaryota; Viridiplantae; Streptophyta; Magnoliopsida; Brassicales; Brassicaceae. The record is from RNAcentral.